CUCCUGUGCUUUAAUAAUUAUCAGGCUGGUGCGAAAGUAAUUGCGGAUUUUGCCAUUAAUGGCAAAUGGCAAAACCUGCAAUUACUUUUGCACCAGUGUAAUAGCU
Molecule: microRNA precursor, 106 nt
Filed under: Chlorocebus sabaeus (green monkey)
Lineage: Eukaryota; Metazoa; Chordata; Mammalia; Primates; Cercopithecidae
Description: miRNA (ENSCSAG00000022903.1)
Source: RNAcentral